This 17-nucleotide ribosomal RNA is filed under the name Erica ioniana. RNAcentral's name for it is "partial 18S ribosomal RNA". The record is from RNAcentral. Lineage: Eukaryota; Viridiplantae; Streptophyta; Magnoliopsida; Ericales; Ericaceae.
GGAAGGAUCAUUGUCAA